CAUUCCGGAAAUUUGGGUUAAUUACGCGAUGUUCUAAUUUUACUCUAAUUCUUCGCCAUGAAAGAUCUGUUUUAAAUGAAUAUUUUAAAUAGAGAAAUAUAGAAUUUUUUUUUGUGGAUUUAUUCCUGUAUGCAGUGUACGAGCUUCAGUCUGAAGGAUGCCAUCAGAUCACCGCAAGGUGAAUGGGGGCCUGAGUGAUAGACCGAGAACCUUUCAUCUCACCCAGUGAGUGUAAAUAGCUGUCAUGUUUGAUUGGCGGUUUGACGUGCACGUGAUGCCCUGGAAGAGGGGAAGAAAUUCAGUGAGGACGCAGUGCAUGAUGGUUUCUCUGUCUGCAAACUAAAGAGGUUGUUUGUGCCAGCAGAAACCAUUCAUGAAAGAUGCACCCCUGAGGCUUACAGAGGUAUACUCCAUCAUCUGCUAAGCAGGGCCGCGGGAGACUGCAGGGCAGCUCCUUAAUUGAGCUGAGGUAGAUUUACUUCCCCAUCAUAUUCGCGGCUCCAUUGUUUACAGUCCUUGAAACUGAUUGAAAGGAAUCAAAAGAUUCAUGGAGAUGUGAUUCAGUACAGAACAUGUUUGGUAUGCAGGAGGAAUGACUAAAGGAGGAUGAUUCUUGCUGGUCAGGCUGGUUCCGGAGGGGCAAAUAAGAGCUGCUUCAAUGACAGUCUAAUUGUAGCCCACAUUCCCUCCAUGGUCUCUGGGGAGGGUUGCUGCUGGUCCACAAAGCUCUCAGGCCAUGCUAAGUCCCCGGAUGCUUCCACGGGUCUGCCGCUUCCAUCCUGCUGUAGGCUCAGUGAAGAAGGUGUUGACCCUGGUGACCUGAGCCUGCUUCCAUUGGGUAAUAGGAAAUGGCACUGACCCCUCCUGAUCCCCCCGAUUACCUUCGUGAAGCGUGAAUGUGGUAUGGAAUCACACAUCAGGAGACGAGUUGUAAUUAUUUCUGCGAUGCCAUCAGCAUGGAUCAAUCACUCAGGGAGGCUGCGAGUGGAACGCCGCUCGCAGCCAUAGAUGGAGCCAGCAGCGACCAUCUUUGACUGACAGCUUUGGUAAUUAAGUGAUUGUAUAGACCCCUCCGACUGUUAUAACAACCUUGUCAGGGCCAGCCUGUGUUUGGAACACACUCAAAUCAAUGUGUUCUCCACUCCCUAAGCAUUUCUGAUCAUGUACCUCAGACAGAAGAACUCUUUGCAUUGACGCUGCUUUCCUUUAAUAAUUGACAUGGCAGUAAAAGAGAUUUUAAAACACAAAAUAUAUAAUAUAAAAAAUAUACUUAACAUUACCAUUUUAUCAUAUUUUUUUCUCAUAGGAGGCCAAAAAAUUGCAAAUUUCAAGCCCGCUAACGCUUGAUGAAUAAAAGUAGAUUUUACUCUCUUCCUUGUAUCAAUCUUUGAAUUUCAUGGCAUAUAAUAACUCUAACGGGCACUUCAAAUCUGAACUUGAAUGUCACAUGUUUCGUUAUUGAGUGAUGUGUAGAAGUUGAAAUAAUAUACAGUGUGUCCAUCUUAAAUGUCAGGCCACUUUAACGCUCCAACCUUUAAUUCCAGAGCUUCAAAGAUCUAAAUUACCAUUGAAAUUUGCUUCCCGUCGGCAUAUCAUCAUAUCUUUGCCUUAUUUCACCACAUAAAAUGAAAAAUGUUUGACAGCGGAGAACUAGGUUGUCCAUAUGGUCUCAAAGAGAAUAAUUGGUGUGAACAUUCGCACACAAUUCUUUUAGAUUGAUGUGCCAUUGAUAACUCAUCUAUUUAUUAUGUCAAACAGUCAAGAGUUCUUUCUGUUAUUUAGUCUGAACUUUUAAACUGGCAACUGGAGUAUCCAGGUCGAGUUAAAUCAAUAGUGGGUCCACACGGGUCAGAGUACUCAUAAGAGUAAUAUAAAUGGUGAAUAACUGGCUUAUAACGAGGCUAAACGCAUAGAAGGAUAUUUUAAGGCUUUAUUAACUAUCUGUUAUAUAUCAUUUAGAAUGUCUAAGUAUUUAUUUGUCAUUGUUUUUUAUCAUGUUUAUUUAAUGAAAAAACUCAAUUUACUGAUGUCAUUAGAUGUGGCUGAAAAUCACAGAAAAAAGCCUAAAAAUGACCUUUGAGUUAAGUUUUUUUAAAUGAUUUGUUUGUGUAAAACAGCUUUUAUGACAUAUGUUGUCAUGCAUAUGAUGUAAUGUGUGGUUAUAGAGAACCCUCACAUUAAAAAUGCCGUUGGUAUUUA
Molecule: long non-coding RNA, 2199 nt
Organism: Oreochromis niloticus (Nile tilapia)
Lineage: Eukaryota; Metazoa; Chordata; Actinopteri; Cichliformes; Cichlidae
Exons: 7
Source: RefSeq, a predicted model, not a curated record